GGCCAGUUAGCUCAAUCGGUUAGAGCGUGGUGUUGAUAACACCAAGGUUGUGGGGUUCAAUCCCCGUUCAGUCCC
Molecule: transfer RNA, 75 nt
Filed under: Apaloderma vittatum (bar-tailed trogon)
Lineage: Eukaryota; Metazoa; Chordata; Aves; Trogoniformes; Trogonidae
Rfam family: tRNA
About the family: Transfer RNA (tRNA) molecules are approximately 80 nucleotides in length.
Source: Rfam by way of RNAcentral